UACGUAGGGUCCGAGCGUUUGUCCGGAAUUACUGGGCGUAAAGAGCUCGUAGGUGGUUUGUCGCGUUGUUCGUGAAAACUCACAGCUCAACUGUGGGCGUGCGGGCGAUACGGGCAGACUUGAGUACUGCAGGGGAGACUGGAAGUUCCUGGUGUAGCGGUGGAAUGCGCAGAUAUCAGGAGGAACACCGGUGGCGAAGGCGGGUCUCUGGGCAGUAACUGACGCUGAGGAGCGAAAGCAUGGGGAGCGAACAGG
RNAcentral lists this ribosomal RNA (255 nucleotides) under uncultured bacterium. Its description in RNAcentral is "partial 16S ribosomal RNA". It matches the Rfam family "Bacterial small subunit ribosomal RNA", at positions 524 to 776 of the family's 1533-position model. The record is from RNAcentral.